This 635-nucleotide long non-coding RNA is filed under the name Ricinus communis (castor bean). Its description in RNAcentral is "long non-coding RNA (RCOM_LNC003103)". The record is from RNAcentral. Lineage: Eukaryota; Viridiplantae; Streptophyta; Magnoliopsida; Malpighiales; Euphorbiaceae.
AAGAUAGCUCAUUUUGAUUCCUUAGUUGGAAUUAUUUUCAUUUUUUUCAUAACAAAGCUAUAGUGGAUGACAAAUGUUUUCUGCCUUAUUAUUAUUUGGACAUAUUUUUUUACCUUUUUAAUUCAUUUCAACCUAUCAUCAUUACUAUAUUAGUGCUUUAUAUUAUUUUCUUUUUCUUCUUAUUUGACAUCAAAUUUAUUUCAAAUGGAUUCCAGUUCUCAUCAUUACUUAUUACUAGGAACCAGUUUAGUAAUAAGAAUGAAAAUUAGAAAUAAUUAUUUUUUAUAUGCUGAUUGAUUCAGUGCCAAAUAAAAAUCAAAUGAAUAUAUUUAAUUUGUUACACAAAAUGAAUGUAAAUAUAAAUUAUAAAUUUUUAUUUUAUUUUUAUAAAAAUAAAAAGUUCAUUGGGUUUCUAUUAUUUUUUUUAACUAUCCAAACACCAACUCAUUUCUAUCCUAAUUUCUUCACCAACCAAACCACCAUUGUCUAUUUUUUCUUUAUUCCCAUAUUUCUUCCACGACAAUCCUCUUUUUAAGUUUAUUUGAAGGAUAACAUUGUUAUACUAUUGCAUUAGCUUGGUGUUCUUUUUCUUUUUCUUCUUAUGUUUAGCUGUACUCCAUAAAAAGAUAUAAAUU